AUGGCUGCUGCACCCAAUUCCCAAUUCUCCAUUCUCCUGCCAGUUAAUGGCUACACCCACGACACAGUCAUCUCUCAUCACGAUAUGUCCCAUGGCGAUGUUGCAAUAGGACCUGAUUUGGCUUCUGUGGACUUGUCUGCUGGGGAUCUCCCAACGCCCUCUGACCAGCUGUUGUUGCCAGCCCAGCCUAGCUGCAACAUAAAGAAUGUGGUGGCCGUUGUCUCCAAUCAUAACAGCCAAGCUACCGAGCAGACCGCAAGCAAAGGCAAAGGACAAUCUGACCCUGCUGUUGUCACUUUGAAAGCCACUGAAGAAGUGAUUACUGUAGAGGAUGCUGAAGAGCGUGUUCAAAUGGACGUUCAUCCUCCUAGUCCAAGGAGAAAUCCAGUGGAGAUGGACACCGGUCAUGACAUGGUACCAAAAUUUCUGGAAAUUCAGUCGGAUGCAAGUGUCCGAGCGCCAACCAAUAUUGUACAAGUCAGUCCGAGUGCAUCGGCGGUUAUGGCGCCCCGAUCUGCAACGCCUCCCACUGUUCCGUAUGUAGUGUAUCCGUUGGCUAGCACUGUUGAGGAUGAGGUUAGCGCCAGCAAAGAGGCCAUGAUUCAGGCCCAGCUGAUGAACUCAAAGCUGAAGGAUGCACCCAAUUCAAGAGUGCUUUUGAAAGCUCAUAUCCCAAAAUACUGUGAACUAGAAUCCGAGCAUCUGGCAUUGCAGGAAGAAGUCGAAAGACUCCGUGCAGAACUGGAGAAAGACAAAAGGAAGAACGAGAAGUUGGAGAAGGAGAAAGCUAUCACAGGAGGUAAACUUGCCAUCCCAGGCACCACCAUGCCGUGCCACAAUAACCAAGACAGCCAAAACAAAUACUCCCAGAAGAGCAAAGGCGGACAAGCAAAUACCUCCUUUCAAGAUCACCUCCAUCCCCCCAAAAAAUCAAAACAUAGUACAUAUAACUUAAGGGACAAAACAAGUAAAGGCAUGCUUGAUGAUGAAAUUUUUGAAAUGUACAUGGAGGAUCUUUGGAAGGGCAUAGAUCCGGAAAAGAAGAGUGACUAUGCGUACCUUGAUUCGUUGUGGUUUGAUAUGUACAUCACUGGGAAACAUAAAUCAAAAGUCCUUAAAUGGGGUGCCUUGUUCGACCCAGAGGUACUACAGAACCUGGAGGACAUCCGCAAGGCUAUUCUUUUAUACCAAGAGGUUGGAUCUAAAAGCGUGCCCGAGGAGAGUGGCUUCAUGAUCCGACCUAAGGUGGUUCCCGACAAAGGCUUCUCAUAUCCGCCAAGGUCUGAUGUGACAUCAAGACCAGGCCUCAACUUCCCGUCGCCCGUCUGCCGGGCGAUGAGGCAAUCCAAGGUUCUCGUUACCGCCGCCCCGCCUGGUUUCUCUUCCGCCGGCCCGCCUGGGUUCUCUUCCACGCCCCUCCACGGCCAGGACUUGGUCGGCGGCCUCGGAGGCGACAAGGAUAACGUCGACCAAGUGUCCCAUGGUGAUGUUGCAAAAGGACCUGAUUUGGCUUCUGUGGACUUGUCUGCUGGGGAUCUCCCAACGCCCUCUGACCAGCUGUUGUUGCCAGCCCAGCCUAGCUGCAACAUAAAGAAUGCGGUGGCCGUUGUCUCCAAGGUUGCCACUUCUACAAGUCAUAACAGCCAAGCUAGCGAGCAGACCGCGAGCAAAGGCAGACGCUGCUGUUGUCACUUCGAAAGUCUAAGGCGAAAUCCUGUGGAGAUGGACACCGAUCAUGAGAUGGCACCAAAUUUUCUGGAAAUUCAGUCGGAUGCAAGUGUCCGAGCGCCCACCGAUAUUGUACAACCCAGUCCAAGUGCAUUGGCGGUUACGGCGCCCCGACCUUCAACGCCUCCCACUGUUCCGUAUGUAGUGUAUCCGUUGGCGAGUACUCGAGAGGAUGAGGUUAGCGCCAGCAAAGAGGCCAUGAUUUCAGCCGAGCUGGUGAGCUCCAAACAGAAGGAUGCAACCAAUUCAAGUGAGGUUCUGAAACCUCAUAACCAAAAAUACUGUGAACUGGAAUCCAAGCAUCUGGCAUUGCAGGAAGAAGUCGAAAGUCUCCGUGCAGAACUGGAGAAAGAGAAAAGGAAGAACGAGAAGCUGGAGAAGGAUAAAGCUAUCACGGGAGGUAAACUUGCCAUUCCAGGCACCACCAUGCCGUGCCACAAUAACCAAGGUGAGUGCACAAUCUCUCCUCAUCACGAUGGUGACUCGUGA
Molecule: ribosomal RNA, 2217 nt
Filed under: Triticum aestivum (bread wheat)
Lineage: Eukaryota; Viridiplantae; Streptophyta; Magnoliopsida; Poales; Poaceae
Description: partial small subunit ribosomal RNA
Source: RNAcentral